GCAUGGGAGUGGGUGGAAAGCUCCGCUUGCGGUGACAGGAUAGAUCCCGCGGCCUAUCAGCUUGUUGGUGGGGUAAUGCCGGCCUACCAAGGCGACGACGGGUAGCCGAGCCUGAGAGGGCGACCGGCCACACUGGGACUGAGACACGGCCCAGACUCCUACGGGAGGCAGCAGUGGGGAAUAUUGCACAAUGGGCGAAAGCCUGAUGCAGCGACGCCGCGUGAGGGAUGACGGCCUUCGGGUUGUAAACCUCUUUCAGCAGGGAAGAAGCGCAAGUGACGGUACCUGCAGAAGAAGCACCGGCUAACUACGUGCCAGCAGCCGCGGUAAUACGUAGGGUGCGAGCGUUGUCCGGAAUUAUUGGGCGUAAAGAGCUCGUAGGCGGCCGGUCGCGUCGGACGUGAAAGCCCGGGGCUUAACCCCGGGUCUGCAUUCGAUACGGGCAGGCUAGAGUGUGGUAGGGGAGAUCGGAAUUCCUGGUGUAGCGGUGAAAUGCGCAGAUAUCAGGAGGAACACCGGUGGCGAAGGCGGAUCUCUGGGCCAUUACUGACGCUGAGGAGCGAAAGCGUGGGGAGCGAACAGGAUUAGAUACCCUGGUAGUCCACGCCGUAAACGUUGGGAACUAGGUGUUGGCGACAUUCCACGUCGUCGGUGCCGCAGCUAACGCAUUAAGUUCCCCGCCUGGGGGAGUACGGCCGCAAGGCUAAAACUCAAAGGAAUUGACGGGGGCCCGCACAAGCAGCGGAGCAUGUGGCUUAAUUCGACGCAACGCGAAGAACCUUACCAAGGCUUGACAUACACCGGAAACUGGGUAGAGAUAUCAGCCCCCUUGUGGUCGGUGUACAGGUGGGUGCAUGGUAGUCGUCAGCUCGUGUCGUGAGAUGUUGGGGUUAAGUCCCGCAACGAGCGCAACCCUUUGUUCUGUGUUGCCAGCGACCAAUGACAUUGUUACUGGGGUCGGGGACUCCCAGGAGACUUGCCGGGGUCAACUCCGAGAGAAGGUAGGGGACGAACCUCCAAUCAUCAUGGCCCUUUAUGUCUUGGGCUUGCACACGUGCUACAAUGGUCCGGUAACAAAGGGCUGCGAUGCCGCGAGAGCGGAGCGAAUUCCAAAAAAGCAGGUCUGAGUUUCGGAUUGGGGGCUUGCAAAUCGAACCCAUGGAAAGUUGGGAUGUUGCUAGUAUUCCGGAGAUCAGUAUGUCGCGGUGGAAUACGUUCCCCGGCCUUUGUACACACCGCCCGUCACGUCACGAAAAUAGGGAAGC
Molecule: ribosomal RNA, 1265 nt
Filed under: Kitasatospora sp.
Lineage: Bacteria; Bacillati; Actinomycetota; Actinomycetes; Kitasatosporales; Streptomycetaceae
Description: bacterial SSU rRNA
Rfam family: Bacterial small subunit ribosomal RNA
Source: RNAcentral